This 483-nucleotide ribosomal RNA is filed under the name uncultured bacterium. RNAcentral describes it as "bacterial SSU rRNA". It matches the Rfam family "Bacterial small subunit ribosomal RNA", at positions 30 to 507 of the family's 1533-position model. The record is from RNAcentral.
AUUGAACGCUGGCGGCAUGCCUUACACAUGCAAGUCGAACGGCAGCGGACCUUCGGGUGCCGGCGAGUGGCGAACGGGUGAGUAAUAUAUCGGAACGUACCUUUCAGUGGGGGAUAACGUAGCGAAAGUUACGCUAAUACCGCAUAUUCUGUGAGCAGGAAAGCCAGGGGAUCGCAAGACCUUGCGCUGAUUGAGCGGCCGAUAUCAGAUUAGCUAGUUGGUGAGGUAAAGGCUCACCAAGGCGACGAUCUGUANCGGGUCUGAGAGGAUGAUCCGCCACACUGGAACUGAGACACGGUCCAGACUCCUACGGGAGGCAGCAGUGGGGAAUUUUGGACAAUGGGCGCAAGCCUGAUCCAGCCAUGCCGCGUGAGUGAAGAAGGCCUUCGGGUUGUAAAGCUCUUUCGGCCGGGAAGAAAUCGCACAGGUUAAUACCCUGUGUGGAUGACGGUACCGGAAUAAGAAGCACCGGCUAACUACGUG